RNAcentral lists this transfer RNA (73 nucleotides) under Candidatus Coatesiibacteriota bacterium. Its description in RNAcentral is "Candidatus Coatesbacteria bacterium tRNA-Ala". It matches the Rfam family "tRNA". From Rfam's summary of the family: Transfer RNA (tRNA) molecules are approximately 80 nucleotides in length. Their secondary structure includes four short double-helical elements and three loops (D, anti-codon, and T loops). Lineage: Bacteria; Candidatus Coatesiibacteriota. The record is from RNAcentral.
GGGGGCGUAGCUCAGCUGGAAGAGCAACGGCUUUGCAAGCCGUAGGUCGGCGGUUCGAAUCCGCUCGCCUCCA